CCUACGGGAGGCAGCAGUGGGGAAUAUUGCACAAUGGAGGGAACUCUGAUGCAGCGACGCCGCGUGAGCGAUGAAGGCCUUCGGGUCGUAAAGCUCUGUCCUAUGGGACGAUAAUGACGGUACCAUAGGAGGAAGCCCCGGCUAACUACGUGCCAGCAGCCGCGGUAAUACGUAGGGGGCGAGCGUUGUCCGGAAUUACUGGGCGUAAAGGGUACGCAGGCGGCCAUGUAAGUCAGAUGUGAAAGGUCACGGCUCAACCGUGGUAAGCAUUUGAAACUGUGUGGCUUGAGUUAAGGAGAGAAAAGUGGAAUUCCUGGUGUAGCGGUGAAAUGCGUAGAUAUCAGGAGGAAUACCAGUGGCGAAGGCGACUUUCUGGACUUAAACUGACGCUGAGGUACGAAAGCGUGGGGAGCAAACAGGAUUAGAUACCCUGGUAGUCCACGCCGUAAACGAUGUCGACUUGGAGGUUGUGCCCUUGAGGCGUGGCUUCCGGAGCUAACGCGUUAAGUCGACCGCCUGGGGAGUACGGCCGCAAGGUUAAAACUCAAAUGAAUUGACGG
RNAcentral lists this ribosomal RNA (560 nucleotides) under uncultured bacterium. RNAcentral describes it as "bacterial SSU rRNA". It matches the Rfam family "Bacterial small subunit ribosomal RNA", at positions 338 to 916 of the family's 1533-position model. The record is from RNAcentral.